GGGGACUUAGGUUAAUUAAACCAGAAGCCUUCAAAGCCUUAAACAGAAGUUCAAAUCUUCUAGGCCCCG
RNAcentral lists this transfer RNA (69 nucleotides) under Scutiger ningshanensis (Ningshan alpine toad). RNAcentral's name for it is "tRNA-Trp". It matches the Rfam family "tRNA". From Rfam's summary of the family: Transfer RNA (tRNA) molecules are approximately 80 nucleotides in length. Lineage: Eukaryota; Metazoa; Chordata; Amphibia; Anura; Megophryidae. The record is from RNAcentral.